This 492-nucleotide ribosomal RNA is filed under the name uncultured bacterium. Its description in RNAcentral is "partial 16S ribosomal RNA". It matches the Rfam family "Bacterial small subunit ribosomal RNA", at positions 29 to 507 of the family's 1533-position model. The record is from RNAcentral.
AGUGAACGCUGGCGGUAUGCCUAACACAUGCAAGUCGAACGGCAGCACAGUAAGAGCUUGCUCUUACGGGUGGCGAGUGGCGGACGGGUGAGGAAUACAUCGGAAUCUACUUUUUCGUGGGGGAUAACGUAGGUAAACUUACGCUAAUACCGCAUACGACCUACGGGUGAAAGCAGUGGAUCUUCGGACCUUGCGCGAUUGAAUGAGCCGAUGUCGGAUUAGCUAGUUGGCGGGGUAAAGGCCCACCAAGGCGACGAUCCGUAGCUGGUCUGAGAGGAUGAUCAGCCACACUGGAACUGAGACACGGUCCAGACUCCUACGGGAGGCAGCAGUGGGGAAUAGUGGACAAUGGGCGCAAGCCUGAUCCAGCCAUACCGCGUGGGUGAAGAAGGCCUUCGGGUUGUAAAGCCCUUUUGUUGGGAAAGAAAAGCAGCAGGUUAAUACCCCGCUGUUCUGACGGUACCCAAAGAAUAAGCACCGGCUAACUUCGUG